CCUUGAAACGGGGGUCGUAAUACUGGAUACGAGACGCUCGGGCAUCCGAAGUGUCUGGAAAGAUUUAUCGGUCAGAGAUGGACUCGCGGCCUAUCAGCUUGUUGGUGGGGUAACGGCCACCAAGGCGACGACGGGUAGCCGGCCUGAGAGGGCGACCGGCCACACUGGGACUGAGACACGGCCCAGACUCCUACGGGAGGCAGCAGUGGGGAAUAUUGCACAAUGGGCGCAAGCCUGAUGCAGCGACGCCGCGUGAGGGAUGACGGCCUUCGGGUUGUAAACCUCUUUCAGCAGGGAAGAAGCGAAAGUGACGGUACCUGCAGAAGAAGCGCCGGCUAACUACGUGC
This 347-nucleotide ribosomal RNA is filed under the name uncultured Cellulomonas sp. Its description in RNAcentral is "bacterial SSU rRNA". It matches the Rfam family "Bacterial small subunit ribosomal RNA", at positions 149 to 508 of the family's 1533-position model. Lineage: Bacteria; Bacillati; Actinomycetota; Actinomycetes; Micrococcales; Cellulomonadaceae. The record is from RNAcentral.